CCUACGGGUGGCAGCAGUGGGGAAUAUUGCACAAUGGGGGAAACCCUGAUGCAGCGACGCCGCGUGAGCGAUGAAGGCCUUCGGGUUGUAAACCGCUUUUGUACGGAACGAAACGGCCUUUUCUAAUAAAGAGGGCUAAUGACGGUACCGUAAGAAUAAGCACCGGCUAACUACGUGCCAGCAGCCGCGGUAAUACGUAGGGUGCAAGCGUUAAUCGGAAUUACUGGGCGUAAAGCGUGCGCAGGCGGUGAUGUAAGACAGUUGUGAAAUCCCCGGGCUCAACCUGGGAACUGCAUCUGUGACUGCAUCGCUGGAGUACGGCAGAGGGGGAUGGAAUUCCGCGUGUAUCAGUGAAAUGCGUAGAUAUGCGGAGGAACACCGAUGGCGAAGGCAAUCCCCUGGGCCUGUACUGACGCUCAUGCACGAAAGCGUGAGGAGCAAACAGGAUUAGAUACCCUGGUAGUC
RNAcentral lists this ribosomal RNA (465 nucleotides) under uncultured bacterium. Its description in RNAcentral is "bacterial SSU rRNA". It matches the Rfam family "Bacterial small subunit ribosomal RNA", at positions 338 to 795 of the family's 1533-position model. The record is from RNAcentral.